AUUGAACGCUGGCGGCAUGCCUAACACAUGCAAGUCGAACGGUAGCAUGACUUAGCUUGCUAAGUUGAUGACGAGUGGCGAACGGGUGAGUAACGCGUAGGAAUAUGCCUUGAAGUGGGGGACAACUUGGGGAAACUCAAGCUAAUACCGCAUAAUGUCUAAGGACAAAAGCUGGGGACCUUCGGGCCUGGCGCUUUAAGAUUAGCCUGCGUACGAUUAGCUAGUUGGUGGGGUAAGGGCCUACCAAGGCGACGAUCGUUAGCUGGUCUGGGAGGAUGGCCAGCCACACUGGAACUGAGACACGGUCCAGACUCCUACGGGAGGCAGCAGUGGGGAAUAUUGGACAAUGGGGGCAACCCUGAUCCAGCAAUGCCGCGUGUGUGAAGAAGGCCUGAGGGUUGUAAAGCACUUUCAGUGGGGAGGAGGAUUGAUAGGUUAAGAGCUGAUUGAUUGGACGUUACCCACAGAAGAAGCACCGGCUAACUCCGUGCCAGCCGCCGCCGUAA
Molecule: ribosomal RNA, 506 nt
Filed under: uncultured bacterium
Lineage: Bacteria
Description: partial 16S ribosomal RNA
Rfam family: Bacterial small subunit ribosomal RNA
Source: RNAcentral